RNAcentral lists this non-coding RNA (66 nucleotides) under Durinskia baltica. Lineage: Eukaryota; Dinophyceae; Peridiniales; Kryptoperidiniaceae. The record is from RNAcentral.
AAGAAGAAAAAAAAAAGAAGAAAAAAAAAUAGAAAAAGAAGAAAAAAAACAGGUUUUUGUAAGACU